GUAAACGGCACUACCCGGCACCUGGCCGACAGUAUCCGGCACACGCCCUCGCGGACUCAUAAUCCGUUGGUCGCUGGUUCGAGUCCAGCCGGCCCCA
Molecule: transfer RNA, 97 nt
Filed under: Actinomycetota bacterium
Lineage: Bacteria; Bacillati; Actinomycetota
Description: tRNA-OTHER
Source: RNAcentral